UACAUACUCCCUCCGUCCAAAAAUACUUGUCGAAGAAAUGCUUAAAAUUGAAUGUAUCUAGAACUAAAAUACAUCUAGAUACAUUCAUUCAUCCGACGAGUAUUUCCGGACGGAGGGAGUACACG
Non-coding RNA from Triticum aestivum (bread wheat), 125 nucleotides. The record is from Rfam. Lineage: Eukaryota; Viridiplantae; Streptophyta; Magnoliopsida; Poales; Poaceae.